GUAGUGAUAAGAUCAUAAAUGUACAUGAUUCUAUAUUAAUUUCUUCAUGUUUUCUUAGCUAGUUUUCCAUCUAUUUGAGUCAUUUACUUUAUUUUUAUGUUUUGUAGGUGUUAUGGAGCAAAUUAGAAGAAAAGAAGCCAAAUCAGCAAAUCUGCCUGUGCAGAUCAGUCAACUUCAAAGUGAAACUGAGAACAGCUCAGAGCGAGUGAGAAAGUGUGCUUUAUAUGGUUGGAAAUCCUUGGAUGUCUAGUUUCUAGAACUUUUAACGGUUCGUCCAUAUCAUUUUUCUACAAAACGUUAUGGCCGAAUUAGUACAGGAAGGUCAGACAUUCCGAGAAUCUGAUACUUUAACUGAAGUGGCAGCACACCUAACUUGGCAAAGUUGCAAGACACCAAACUUUGACUGCAGCUGCAGCACAAUACUUUUGAAAAUAUGAAGCUCUAUAUCCACCAAUUUUGACAAGGUUGCAGCCACCAUUCCUUUACAACAACUAUAGCACACCGGUUUUGACAAAGCUGCAGCCAUCCAUCUUUGACAAAGAAACAUUUCUAGCUGCAAUAACUAGUGCUAGGAGCUCUAUAAAAUGAAGGGCUGGAAUGAGUAUUGAAAAAGGAGUAUUGGGAGGGAGAUGACCAGAUUAGAGAACAGAAUGGGAGAGCAGAAGAUAGAGAGAGACAUUUAGUUUAGACUUAUGUCUGCCACACAAGAGGAGAAAGAACGACACCCUUUCUGCCAUCAUCCAGCUAUCAUCUCUUCCUCUUCCUUUCUUCUAGUUUGUGUUUUCUUCAUAACUAUGUCUAGCUAAAUACUUUUGUAGCUAGGGGCGAUUUCAAAGCCCCGAACAUGUUCAAUUCAUAUUAAUAAUUCAGUUUUUGGUUUUCUAUAUUGUCAAUUGAGUGUUUGAUUCACCGUGUCUACAAGAUGAAUCUUUACUUAUUUGCUUAGGUGCGCAACUAAAUGAAUAAGUUAGGAUUCUAAUGCUAGGAAUAACACUAGAUUCGUAUAUGUCUUGUGUCCAUUCCAAUUGAGUAGCAAAAUGUUUUCGCGAAUUACAUGUGGCUCAAACCAUAGGUUUAGCAAGACUACCAACGUACUUGUGACCCUAGAUUUAUCCAAACCCUUUUCUUGCUUAAUGAUUUUGAUAUGUUAAACUUAGCGAGCUUGUGUCUAGGUUGCAUAUUUGAAAAUAGAUUAAGUGGUGAGCUUGUAUUCACUUAACGAGGAACUAAGAAAGGGUAAUGGGUUAACUCGAGCUUGUGAGUUAAUUUCGGGUAAAUUCAAUUGAGAUUUAGAAUUCCAUAACUGAGCUUUGAUAUGAAUGAAUGUGUUCGGUGGUAGAGAAUGAACUCUUAGCUUUGUUUCUAUUAAUAGUUUUAGAAUCUUAUCAAAUCUGUUUCUGUUUGAUUAGCUUUCCGUGUUCCGUUUUACGUGAAUUAUUUCAUAUAGCAAAUCAACUCCAAUUGUUAUGAAAUUUUGUAUACAUAUUGUUCAAUGUGUCUUUAGUGUCCUGUAAAAGUUUCAGAAAAUUCCAUUGAGUCUAAGUUAGUUAAUUAAUUUAUUUUCGUUAACUGUUCAGUAGCAUAGUUUAUAGUAGUUUGUGACAUUUGAUUAGCAGUUUAGAAACAAUCUUCAGCGGGUAAUGACCCUUGCUUGAUCACUAUAUUACCAACGAUGAUGUUUGAAUGCAAGGUUUAAGUUUUGCAUCUUUUAAGACGUACCAGGUAGCCAACUGCAACAGUUUCAAGGUAUGCUUCUUAUUUCUCACAAUAUCAAAUCUUUCAUCAAUUUGUUUAAUGAUGUUUAAGUAUAACGAAGGUAAUCAAUUGAUGGAAAUUAUUCUAUGCACCGACGGUGUAAGUGACCCAACCCUUAUAAAAUAAUCUCAACCCUUGAUAUUUAUUAUCAACUUUAUUUUUAAUAAUAAAAAAGUGUAUUUAAUGCAAUCUAACCAUUCAUUUAUGUUGGUGCAAGUGCACGGCGGUGCUCUGAAUAAUCUCUCAUCAAUUGAUUUCCAAUGAAAAAAUGGGCAAAUCUAUGGACUAAAGCAAGGUUCAACAAAGACGUGAAACAGGUUGCAUAAGAGAGAAAACCAAACAGAUGCACACUCACCAGCUUUGGGUUUUGUGUGAUCAAUUGCGGUAACCUAUGAAAUCAUAUUUUUAGUGUAGAUAGCCUAUUCCAAAUUCAUUUCUAAGGCAAGUCCUUGCAAGCUAUUUGCCUUAUUUCAAUUAUUACAAAGAACAUUCACUCGAUCAUUUAAAUUCAUAGACUUUUUCAUUUUAUGAAUUGCAUAAAUUCUGAUUCAUUGCGUUUGGGAAACUGAUUAGUUUCAUUCAUAGUCUGUUUGCCAAAUUGUGACAGUAAGAUAAAUUGCAACUUUUGGUUCUGCUUUUCUGUUGGGAGCUUCUCUCAGUGUCACAGUCUGUUUAGGAAAAUUCCCUUUAUUUCAGUUUGAUAGUUAUUCUAUUACGUAGUUUUAUCGUAUAAGGAUUAUGAUGCAGACAUGGAGAAGGAUAACGAAAAUAGAAAUGUACAUCAUUCAGGUCAAAGAAUAUUAGGAGAGCCAAAGAAAAAGCUUGCUAUAACGACUAAAUUUAUUUUAGUUUCCCACCCAGCUCAUGCUUUUUGGUAUAUCUUAAUAUAUUAAGAUUAGUUGCUCUUGAUUUCUCAUUCCUUCGUUUGAUCUUGGAGUGCAGCUAUAAUUAUUGUUGAAUUAGGAUAUAAUUUGGUUGAGUUCUCCCAUACACAAUUACUCUUCUGCAAUUUACAAAUUCUCAAGGUUUUUCUAAUUUUCAAAAUUUUACUGCUAGGGAUAUGGCGUUGUUCUUAUUAAUACUGAAGAGGCAGGUACCUUGAUAGUCACCAAUUUUCAGCUUCUUUUUCUGAUUGAGGGAACUAGGAAUGUUAUUCCGCUUGGCACGAUACCUUUGGCAACAAUUGAGAAGUUCAACAAAAUUCGAUUUCUGUUCAGUUUUCAUCCUGAGCUGAGGUCAUCAUCAGCGUGGUGCUUCAAUCGAUUUCCCAAGUUUGAGACUUUGUGCAUGUGUAGAAUUUGACUCAGUCUUAAAUGGUGCUUGGAUAUGGUUGGAGGCUAGCCAAGGAUUCUUUUGUCCGUCAAGCCUCAGCUCUAUUUCAAAAAUGUAAAUCACUUAGCAAGGACAGAGAAGUAAACAAUAACUUUAUCUGCUGUGUGUCAAAACUAAGUGAAGUUUCAGCAGUGCAAUCAAGUUUAGUUGGAUUUGGAUAAUAUCUGUUUUUCAUGUGCUCUACUGCAUCACAACCUUUGCUUUGGGAAGGCACAAUAUUCAGAAAGGUUUAGGUAUGCUAGGGAUACAUCAUUCGGAAAGAGUCAUUUGAACUUCUGGAGCCAGUCAACAGUUCUGCUUUGGAUUGUGUGCACCGUGUGCUUAGUCAAACAGUUUUUCUGGUUAGAUAUUAUGUACCUGACUCUGAGGCAUGGUUUUAUCUCGGCACAUCUAGCACCUGAGAUCAUUUAUUCUCAUGCUAACGGGUGAGAAAAGAGGAUUUGGCAAAGGACAGGAAACUGCGUUCGAAGCAUUUUAAUUGUAUUUGCGAUUUUGUUGAACUAGGUUGUUUUCUUUGCUGCUUUUUUGUUUCUGAUUGGUUCAAGACAUCUACCGUUGCUGAAUAUAUAAUUCUAUUUCAGUCUAUUUGAAAACUAGAGAAAUCAGGUUAGGAAAGUUUUUUUUUUUUUUUCCUUGAAAUAGGUCAGGAAGGUUCUGUGCAGGGAGUUGGAGAGAUAUUUUGUUUAAUAUAUGAUUUGUGUCCCUGAUAAUUGAUUGUUGGAAAUAGUAUAAUCUUGGGUCAAUUUGAAAAGUAUUGUGAAUCCACACACAACUGUCGGAAGAAAGACAAGGACAAUGAUGGUUGAAAAUUUGGCUAUUGGCAGUGAGCAUCCCAUAAGGAUUCAAACAAUGACAACAAGUGACAUAGAUGAUGCUUCUGCCACGAUUGAAGGGGUAACUGGAGGUUAACUCUCUUCUAUGCUCAGAUUCUUGAAGCAUCAAAUGAUGAAGAGGUUGCCUUACUGUCACAGAUGUUCAGGUGAAAAGCAAGCACUACUGAAUUGUGUUGGCGUUAGCAUGAAUACGACGACUUUGUCUUCAGAUCGGCUAACACCUUUUGUGCAUACAUACCCAGAGCAACUAAACAACUAUUUUCUGGAAAAUGCUCUAGCAGCAACUGUAAUUAAAGUUAAACUAAGAUAGCCUAUUUGUUACCAGCUGCUAUCCAUAUUGGAAAGAAGUGAUAUUGUACUAUUUUGUCCUUUAUAUUCUCUGUCCUCUCAAGUUUAGUUCUAUACUAACAAUUGGAGGUGAUGAACAAGAGGGAGUAGGAAAAGGAACAAUGGAUUAAAGGGAAGCCUUCAGUUCA
Rosa chinensis is the source of this 4396-nucleotide long non-coding RNA. RefSeq lists it as uncharacterized. The record is from RefSeq and is a predicted model, not a curated record. The transcript has 11 exons. NCBI's taxonomy places the organism in Eukaryota, Viridiplantae, Streptophyta, Magnoliopsida, Rosales, Rosaceae.